GACGAACGCUGGCGGCGUGCUUAACACAUGCAAGUCGAACGGAAAGGCCCUGCUUUUGUGGGGUGCUCGAGUGGCGAACGGGUGAGUAACACGUGAGUAACCUGCCCUUGACUUUGUGAUAACUUCAGGAAACUGGGGCUAAUACCGGAUAGGAGCUCCUGCUGCAUGGUGGGGGUUGGAAAGUUUCGGCGGUUGGGGAUGGACUCGCGGCUUAUCAGCUUGUUGGUGGGGUAGUGGCUUACCAAGGCUUUGACGGGUAGCCGGCCUGAGAGGUGGAACGGCCACAUGGGGACUGAGAUACGGACCAGACUCCUACGGGAGGCAGCAGGGGGGAAUAUUGCACAAUGGGCGGAAGCCUGAUGCAGCAACGCCGCGUGCGGGAUGACGGCCUUCGGGUUGUAAACCGCUUUCGCCUGUGACGAAGCGUGAGUGACGGUAAUGGGUAAAGAAGCACCGGCUAACUACGUG
Molecule: ribosomal RNA, 468 nt
Filed under: uncultured bacterium
Lineage: Bacteria
Description: partial 16S ribosomal RNA
Rfam family: Bacterial small subunit ribosomal RNA
Source: RNAcentral